Molecule: long non-coding RNA, 888 nt
Filed under: Olea europaea subsp. europaea
Lineage: Eukaryota; Viridiplantae; Streptophyta; Magnoliopsida; Lamiales; Oleaceae
Source: RNAcentral
AAUAGAUUAAUAUAAUUAACUAUCGUUUAUUUUUUAUCAUUUCUCCCGUUUGAGAACUCGAUUCUGAGGAGAUAGACUGCAACUUCAUUUUUCAAGGGGGUCGAUCUUUUGUUUGACCAAUACUCGUUUUGAACACUUGACAACUACAUAUGACUGAACUUUUACCAAGGGAGGCUAUCUUUCUUAUGGAUCAAAUGCUGAUAACAAACUUUGGAAAGUAGCAUAUAGUCCAUCCAACAAAACAUCAAUUGACGAUGCAUACUGAGGAGCCAAGGGACUAGCAUCGUAGAUUGGAUUGCAAAAAUAAAUGAUUGUAACAUUGGAGGCUCAAAUGUGCCUCGAUAAGAAAACAGUUCUGCUAUGUGUUUCAUUAAAGCGUGAUGACUAGUAAGAUAUAUUAUUUCGAAACCUUUUCUUAAUUUUUUUGGGAAAUUGAGCCAAAGAAACAAGCAAUAAAGCAUAAAUUUACUAUUAAAAUGUUUGAGCUUAUAUUGUACAUCGAAAACAAGAAAGAGAAGAAGAGGAAGAGAAUUUAGGGUAAAAGAAUUAUCAAUUUGUUUCAUAUAUCAAAGUAUAAAUGUAACGAUCCGAUCUCUAUGUCCAAGCUAUUAAUUUACGUAUUAUCCGCUAUGAAUGAGCUUAGCUUGUCUCACCCCUCAUGGCGCGUCCCCAUGAUUCGAAUCCAAGACCUUUCUGUUAAGAGAGAUUUAAGUUGAAUUUUGGUACGAAUUGGACCUUUUUCCUAAGAGAUAAGUUAAAUCUUGGUACAAAUUGGACAACUCACUAGAGUUUGUCUAUUUUUAGAAAUUCUGAACACGACUAGUGAUCACUAUCUUGAUUUCAAACAAAUUCAUAUCCCGGCAUAAGCUACACCAAACAUGAAAUAAU